UACAGAGGUCCCAAGCGUUGUUCGGAUUCACUGGGCGUAAAGGGUGCGUAGGCGGUCAGGUAAGUCCGACGUGAAAUCUCCAAGCUCAACUUGGAAAUGGCGUUGGAUACUAUUUGGCUUGAGGAACGGAGGGGAGACUGGAAUUCUCGGUGUAGCAGUGAAAUGCGUAGAUAUCGAGAGGAACACCAGUGGCGAAGGCGAGUCUCUGGACGUUUCCUGACGCUGAGGCACGAAAGCCAGGGGAGCAAACGGG
RNAcentral lists this ribosomal RNA (253 nucleotides) under uncultured bacterium. Its description in RNAcentral is "partial 16S ribosomal RNA". It matches the Rfam family "Bacterial small subunit ribosomal RNA", at positions 524 to 776 of the family's 1533-position model. The record is from RNAcentral.